GUUUGGGCAGAAACCCUGACACCAGGGGGGUACCAAAGGGGCCACUGAUCCCCCAAAGCACCUAGUUGUGCUUGCAGGUGAGCCUUAUAGAAGGGAUACUCACCCACCCAGCACGAGGGCCGGCCAGCCUGCAGAGGUGUGUCAGGUGGUUGACCAUCUUCUUGAUGAGUUUCACCUCCUCAUCUAGGAAGCUGUUCUCUAGGAAGUUACAGAACCCACAGCAUGCAGAUCCAGAAGGGCCUGGUUCACGUUCUCCUCCUGGAUCAUAGCAGCUUCCCUGGCGUCCAAGCUUUUACCACACUUAUCCUGGGAUGGCUUCUGCGUGUCCCGGAAGAGGGCACGGCUCCUGCUCUUAUGGUUCUCCUUGGCCAACUCCGGGAGAUCAACACCUUCUCCCUCCUGGAUCUUUCCAGUCAGCAUUUCCACAAACUCAAGAGCCUAAAUCCUUGCUUUCAAUGUGGUCAAUGAAGCAGCAUCCUCAACAUCACCUAGGAGCCGGCUACAAAUGCAGAAUCUCAAGCUCCACCCCAGCCUGCUGAUUGUCUGCAGUUUAACAAAAUCUCCAGGAGAUCUGUAUGCACAUUAAUGUGCUCUAAACCACAACCAAGAUUCUCUGGUCUUCCAUGCUGUUGAGAAGAAUAAAGUGGCAUACUUUCAAUUCUCAAGGGACACUUUGAAGAGGAUGGGCUGGAGUGCCACAGUCUACCAUGGAAUCUACUACUGGAAGCUCAGUCCCCUUCCCAUGUGGUAUUAUUUUAGUCUGAAGAGCUCAGAGUAGGAUAAAUGUAGAGUUAAGGAAUACAGAGUCUCCAAGAUUGCCCAGAUGUUGAAGCAGCAUGGGUCAACUUCUGUGGGUAAAGGUAAAAGUUUUCCUAAAGAUUAGUAGAGAUUUGCAGUGUAGAAGCUAGAAGAGGAUGCUCCAGCAGAGUGGUCCUUAUGGACAGAGAUAAGGGAAUAAGAUUAAGAUCUGGGAAUGGAUAAUUUCGAGUUAUAUCCUUGAUAGGAUAUAACUUUUUAAAAAAAUGUUUCUUUUUUCUUUUUCAAAGUAAUCACUACACUCAACAUGGAGCUCAAACUCACAACCCUGAGAUCAAGAGUCACACACUUGUCUGACUGAGCCAGCCAGGCACCCCAAGAUUAUAACUUUUGAAGAGGUUUUUUUUUUUCCUUAAACUGUGGGAAAAGUUGUAUUUAGCAUAUAGUUUUUUUGUUUUCAUUUGAAUAUAGUUGACAUACAGCGUUACAUUAGUUUUAGGUGUACAACUUGGUGAUUUGACAAAUUUAUAUGUUAUAUACGUUUAGCACAAGUGUAGUUACCAUCUGUCCCAUUAUAUCGCUAUUACAGUAUCAUUGACUGGGUUCCUUAUGCUGUGCCUUUUAUUCCCAUGACGUACUCACUCCAUAACUGGAAGUCUGUAUCUCCCACUCCCCUUCAUCUAUUUUGCCCAAUCCCCCACCCCCUAUUUAGCAUAUAGUUUAAAUUUCUUCCUUUAAUAUGCCAUAAUUCCUUUAGUGUUUUCCAGUCUGCUAAUGCAUUUGGUAAGUCUGCAUGUCUUUUUUUUUUUAAGAUUUUAUUCAUUUAUUUGAGAGAGAAAGUGUGAGAGAGAGAAAGCAUGAGAGUGGGGAGGGUCAGAGGGAGAAGCAGACUCCCGCUGAGCAGAGAGCCUGAUGUGGAACUUGAUCCUGGGACUCCAGGAUCAUGACCUGAGCCAAAGGCAGACGCUUAACCAACUGAGCCACCCAGGCACCCCUUCUAAGUCUGCAUGUCUUGAGUAGGGCUGUAAUGGAAGGAAAUGAGAGCUGGAUCCAUAAGGAUAUUUGAUAUCUCCUCCAAAUGCAACUUGUUUUUCUCCUCCCUCCUGAUUCUCAUCCUACAAAGUCCCUUAGAGGUAUAGCAUCAAGGUACCCAGGGAGACUGCAUUCAUGAUUUCCAGACUGAGACCAAUAACAAUAACAAAUGAAGAGCAUUCUCAUGGUGGAAUGGGGAUUUAGGAGAGACUUUAAGAAGAACCUUGGAAGAUCAAGGAACACUCUAUUUCCCCAAAUUUACUUAGAGGGAGUUGUCCCUUAGGGGAAAAGGAAAAGCUAUUAUCUGGGUUGCAUGAAUUUUAUAAUAUAACCUGAGAGAUCUAUAAUAACAUAUACUUGUGACUGAAUUUUAACUUUGCUUAUAAUUAAAUGGAAAUCAAAAUA
Molecule: non-coding RNA, 2193 nt
Organism: Callorhinus ursinus (northern fur seal)
Lineage: Eukaryota; Metazoa; Chordata; Mammalia; Carnivora; Otariidae
Source: RefSeq, a predicted model, not a curated record